This 445-nucleotide ribosomal RNA is filed under the name uncultured bacterium. RNAcentral's name for it is "bacterial SSU rRNA". It matches the Rfam family "Bacterial small subunit ribosomal RNA", at positions 29 to 506 of the family's 1533-position model. The record is from RNAcentral.
ACGAACGCUGGCGGCAGGCUUAACACAUGCAAGUCGAGCGGACCCUUCGGGGUCAGCGGCGGACGGGUGAGUAACGCGUGGGAACGUGCCCUUCUCUCUGGAAUAGCCCUGGGAAACUGGGAGUAAUGCCGGAUACGCCGGGCCAUGGCGACAUGGUUUGGGAAAGAUUUAUCGGGGAAGGAUCGGCCCGCGUUGGAUUAGGUAGUUGGUGGGGUAAUGGCCUACCAAGCCGACGAUCCAUAGCUGGUUUGAGAGGAUGAUCAGCCACACUGGGACUGAGACACGGCCCAGACUCCUACGGGAGGCAGCAGUGGGGAAUCUUGGACAAUGGGGGCAACCCUGAUCCAGCCAUGCCGCGUGAUCGAUGAAGGCCUUAGGGUUGUAAAGAUCUUUCAGCUGGGAAGAUAAUGACGGUACCAGCAGAAGAAGCCCCGGCUAACUCCGU